RNAcentral lists this ribosomal RNA (265 nucleotides) under uncultured bacterium. RNAcentral's name for it is "partial 16S ribosomal RNA". It matches the Rfam family "Bacterial small subunit ribosomal RNA", at positions 333 to 595 of the family's 1533-position model. The record is from RNAcentral.
UAUGACCUACGGGGGGCAGCAGUGAGGAAUAUUGGUCAAUGGUCGGGAGACUGAACCAGCCAAGCCGCGUGAGGGAUGAAGGUACAGAGUAUCGUAAACCUCUUUUGUCAGGGAACAAAGGCGGGGACGUGUCCCCGGAUGAGUGUACCUGACGAAAAAGCAUCGGCUAACUCCGUGCCAACAGCCGCGGUAAUACGGAGGAUGCGAGCGUUAUCCGGAUUUAUUGGGUUUAAAGGGUGCGCAGGCGGGCUGUUAAGUCAGCGGU